This is a non-coding RNA of Caretta caretta (loggerhead turtle), 8785 nucleotides long. Lineage: Eukaryota; Metazoa; Chordata; Testudines; Cheloniidae. The record is from RefSeq and is a predicted model, not a curated record.
CCGCGUCGGGACUUGGCGGUUACAGCCCAGCGCGCUGUCAGUCAGGGGGCGUGAGGUCCUUGGCUGCCGUUUGGUUGGCUCAAGCCGCGCGAGCCCGCCCACGUGCUCCUUUUCUUGUUCGCGCGCGCUGUCAAUCAGUGUUCUGGCGGCUGGAGACGGAGGCGUUUUGCCGCUCACCACCCCCGGCUUGGCUCCUCCCCUUCCCUGCCUCGCUUCGCGCUGUCAGGCAGCUCGGGGAGCCCUACUGCAGGCGAAGGUUCGCUCAGCUCGCCUACUCCGCAGCUCGCGCCGCCUUGGCCCCACCCUCUCCCUCCCGGCGCGAGGGCCCCCUGACUUGGCUUGUUCUGAGCUUGGGUCGCGCGGAGCUCGGCUCGUUAGCUGUCUCGCACCGCCGUAGCCUAGCCCCGCCCAUUUACGAGGAGCCCAGCUCCGUCGGAGAGGAGCGACCGAGUCGGCUGCUGGGCUCGGUUUCCUGCUCAGUGGGCGUCAGUUGGGCCUCUCUGGGCCCCGCCCCUCCUUCCCCCUCGGCUGGCUCUGAGCUGUCAAUCAGGCGCCGGGCUCAGGGGCAGGCGGCGGCGGCGGGCGGAGAGAGGCAGCUACGCCACAGCCCAGCGGCGGCCAUUCGUGGAAAAAUAGGCCGUCCCGCUCCUCCCAGCUCCGGCUGCGACCGGCCUUCUCCCCGCUACCCCCACCCCACCCUCCGCCUCCUCCGCCUCCUCCUCCCCCCCAGAGCGGCGCCUCAGCGGGGCAUUAAUGCGGGAUGAGCGAUCAAAAGAAGGAGGAAGUUAUGCCCACAGAGGGAGAGAAAUCUCCUGAGGCAGAGAACAAUAAUAAUAAAAAAAAUAAAACUGGAGGCUCACAGGAUUCUCAACCUUCACCUCUGGCUUUGCUGGCAGCCACUUGCAGCAAAAUUGGGACUCCUGGUGAGAAUCAAUCAACUGGACAACAGCAGAUUAUUAUAGAUCCAAGCCAAGGUUUGGUGCAGCUUCAAAAUCAACCACAACAGUUAGAAUUAGUAACAACUCAGCUUGCUGGAAAUGCAAAUGCAUGGCAGCUUGUUGCUGCUGCUCCUCCUGCUUCAAAAGAAAACAAUGUUGCUCAACAAGGAUCUUCUGUUGCAUCAAGCACAGCAAGUCCUUCCGGCAGCAACAAUGGGAAUACAUCUCCUUCAAAAACUAAAUCAGGCAAUUCUUCUGCUACUAACCCUGGACAGUUUCAAGUAGUACAAGUACAGAAUCCAAGUGGUAGUGUCCAAUACCAAGUGAUCCCACAGAUUCAGACAACGGAAGGUCAGCAAAUUCAAAUCAAUCCUGCCAAUGCUACAGCUCUACAAGAUUUACAGGGUCAAAUUCAGCUCAUCCCUGCAGGGAAUAAUCAAGCUAUCCUCACAACUGCAAAUAGGACCACUUCGGGGAAUAUUAUUGCUCAGAACCUGGGAAAUCAGACAGUUCCAGUCCAAAUUAGGCCUGGUGUUUCAAUACCACUGCAACUGCAGACUAUUCCAGGUACUCAGGCUCAGGUUGUAACAACCUUGCCUAUAAACAUUGGAGGAGUAACUCUAGCAUUGCCUGUGAUAAACAAUGUGGCAGCAGGAGGUGGUUCUGGACAGGUUGGCCAGACUGCUGAUAGUGGAGUUUCCAAUGGGAAUCCGGUAGUAUCCACGCCUGUCACUACUGCUUCUGUUAGUACUAUGCCAGAAUCCCCUUCCUCUUCUUCCAUUUGUACAACCACUGCCUCAACAACUCUGACUAGCAGUGACACUUUAGUAACCUCAGCAGAGGCAGGCCAGUAUGCAAGCACAGCAGGCAGCAGUUCAGAGCAUACUCCUGAAGAACCUCAAACAACUGCCACAGAAUCAGAAGCCCAGAGCUCCAGUCAGCUUCAGCCUAAUGGACUACAAAAUGUGCAGGAUCAGUCAAGUUCACUUCAACAGGUGCAAAUUGUAGGUCAGCCUAUUCUACAGCAAAUACAGAUCCAACAGCCGCAACAGCAGAUUAUUCAAGCCAUUUCUCCACAGUCAUUUCAGCUCCAGUCAGGGCAAACUAUUCAGACCAUCCAACAACAGCCUUUGCAAAAUGUUCAGCUGCAAGCAGUGAGUCCAACUCAGGUACUCAUCAGGGCUCCAACUUUAACACCAUCAGGGCAGAUCAGUUGGCAAACUGUGCAGGUUCAGAAUCUUCAAAGCCUUUCAAAUUUGCAAGUUCAGAAUGCUGGGUUACCCCAGCAACUAACCAUCACCCCAGUGUCUUCAAGUGGGGGCGCAACUAUUGCCCAGAUUGCACCAAUGGCUGUUGCUGGUACCCCAAUCACACUGAAUGCUGCCCAGCUUGCUUCAGUGCCUAACCUCCAAACAGUAAGUGUUGCCAGCCUCAGUGCAGCAGGUGUUCAAGUUCAAGGAGUUCCAGUUACCAUUACCAGUGUUGCAGGUCAACAGCAAGGACAGGAUGGAGGCAUGAAAGUACAGCAAGCCACAAUAGCUCCUGUAACUGUAGCCGUAGGAGGUAUUGCUAAUGCAGCAAUUGGUGCUGUUAGUCCUGAUCAGAUCACACAAGUGCAGUUACAACAAGCCCAGCAAGCUUCUGACCAGGAAAUACAACCUGGCAAGAGAUUAAGAAGAGUUGCCUGCUCAUGUCCUAAUUGUAGAGAAGGAGAAGGAAGAGGCAGCAGUGAGCCAGGAAAAAAGAAGCAGCAUAUCUGCCAUAUCGAAGGAUGUGGAAAAGUUUAUGGGAAAACAUCUCAUCUCCGGGCACACCUUCGUUGGCAUACUGGAGAAAGACCAUUUGUAUGUAACUGGAUGUUUUGUGGCAAAAGAUUUACACGGAGUGAUGAGCUGCAAAGACAUAGAAGAACCCACACAGGUGAAAAAAGAUUUGAGUGCCCCGAAUGUUCUAAGAGGUUUAUGCGGAGUGACCAUCUCUCCAAACAUGUCAAAACUCAUCAGAACAAGAAAGGUGGUGGAACAGCCCUUGCUAUUGUUACUUCAGGAGAACUGGACUCUUCAGUUACUGAGGUUCUUGGCUCUCCAAGAAUUGUCACAGUUGCAGCCAUUUCUCAAGAUUCAAACCCAGCAACCCCUAAUGUUUCAACAAACAUGGAAGAAUUCUGAAAGGAUCAUUUAUACAGACACCUAGUGCUGCACUUAAGUUUACAUACCUUUCAUGAUAUGGAAGUGGGCUGGUAAAGUGGAUUACAGAGCAGGAAAUCAUGUUUUCAGUCUUGACUUCUGCUAUGUGACAUACGUGAUGGGACUGAAACACUAUCAUUGGCAGAUAACUCUGAAACUAUAGAAAAUGAUGGUAAUCUUGAAGGUGGAUAGUCUUCAAAAUCCUGUAUGUUGAAGAUGGAUUCUCCUAAACAAAAUAAGUCAAUGCAGUAUUUAAUUAUUAUUACCAUACUGCUCAUUUAGUAUUACUCAUUGCAUUCACUGACACUUCAGUAUUACUUUAAAGGUGAAAUUGUAAAAGGGAGAUCUGUCUAUUUCAGUUAUUUAUUUUUUAUCACAACUGCAUCUAAAAUGAUAGUACCAUAGAGUAACAAGUAUAUGUUUUGCUCAAACAAGAAUAGUCCAGAAGGAAGAUAGGCAGUCCUUAAGAAAAAAAGUAUGAAAUAAAAAAGUUUACCAACCUGAAGAUCCUGGAUGUUCAGACAUGUUCCUUUCAUCAUCUUUAACGCAGUUUCCUCCUGAGAAGGAACACUCUCAUGAUGUUGUUUCAUUUGGGCAACCAGGCCUUGCAUUUCUUUGUUGCACUGUUUGCAUUUUGCACACAUGCUUGUCUUACCCAGAGGUAGAGGAACUUCAUUAAAAUAUUCCGAAACUGGGUCUCUUUUACGGCCUGCUGCCAUUAUAGGUUUUCCCUUCUCGUGAGAAAAUGAUAUGGUAGAUCUCAAAUCAAUGAAGGCUACACUCAGAAAGACCUCAAGACUUCUGGAAUAUGCUGCUCAAACGGUUUCACUUUUGUUUCUACUGCUUGUCCCUCCAUUCUCACAUUUAUCUCCAGACUUCUUCUCCUUGUCCAGGUCUAUUCAACCCCCAACAAUCUUCUACUCAUUGAACUUUUUGAAACUUUGCACUUUUAGAGAGAGGUAAGGGAUUGACUCUGUACACAAAUUUGCAGAGGGACAAUAGGGUUGAGGUCUGUUUGUCUCACCUCUAUAUGUUGGUUGGUUGGUUUAUUUUAAAACAUUUUUGCUGUUAACAAGCAUGUUAUCUCUGGAGACACAAAUCCACAGUUUGAGAACUUCAAAACUAGGCAUCUCUGAUGGUAUCUUCUAGACUGAGCACUGAGUCCCGUUGAGUAGAUAGAGAGAUUUACCUAACUAAUCUAUACAGAAGCUCCUGGAACCCCAUAAAAUUGGGUCCCUAAUUCAUGAAUUAUUGGAACUAAUUUCUAAAACUUUUCUUAAACAUUAAAUGAAUAUAUUCUCAUACUGUAGAAUUAAAAUUUAUAAUCCCUAUUAUAUUAUAGCUCAAAGAUAUCUCAUCAUGGAUCUUAAUUAAAACUAUCUUUAGAUAGUUUUUUUUCUCAAAAAGCAUUUUAUCAAAAAGAUCUAUUUAAAUUUAAAAAAUCUGUUUUUGUGUGUGUUUUUUUAAAGAAAUCAUUGUUUUUUAUCCACCCUGCAUGGGAACAGAAUCUAAAUUCCUGAGUCCUAGUCUUGAUUUUAGACAACCAUCCUUCUCCUCCAAUACAGACCUAGAAUCUAUGAGCUUCAUUGUAUCUAUAUGUUCGAUGAGAUGUGUUUAAUUUCAAGUCUCAUUAACUUCUAUUUGAGUAGAAUGAUAACUUAUAUUAAACAAAGCUUUCAACUGUAGCCAAAGUCUAACAGAAUUUGAAUUAAAAUCUAUAGUUUCAUGUAACCUAUUACUAAGUCUAUAUUACAAAAUAUUUUUAAAAUGACAUUUUACAGGGGCACAGGGAUUCUUGUUUUUAGCCGUUUACUGCUGCUGAAUGUUUUAAAUUGUUUCUUAAAUUGUUGAGAAGAGAGAAAUCCUCCAUUUUGCAUCCAUCACUGUAGUGCAGUUUCAGAAAAUGUAACACAAAACUUAACCAAUUAGGAGACUAAGGAUAAAUAUUCAAACUUUCAUUCUGUCCCCUUUAUGUAUGUGCCUUAAAAUGUGGCCUUUGUAUCAUCUACUUUUUGUCAAAUGUAAAAUGUAAUUCCAAAUAGAAUUUCUUAGACAAGCUUAGAUACAAUAAAAUAAAAAUAAUGUAUUGUACAUACAGUAUAUACAUUGAUAUACUUUUGUGAAAUAGAUACCGUGCAGGUAGGCUAGUAACAUAACAUUUUAUAUCUAGUUAAGUGGCAAAAUACAGUAUUAGAAUUUUUCUGUAAUGAGCAUGGAUCAGCUCUGUACUUUCCCUCCCACACCCCAGCUACUUUGCACCUUCUAACAAACCUAGGAAUUCCGUUAGAUUAAGGGGAAUCCUCAGGUGGCAUAUUAGGCCCUAUAUCAUUUUGCCCCACCCCUGUUGUCUCAAGAAAGAGGGGUAUGUUAGGAGUUUUCUGAGGAAAAUGAGAUGUGUCUAGAGCAGCGUUUCUCAAAUGCAGCCACCAGGGGCUUUUCUUGUGGCCACAGCCUCCUAGGCAGUAACUGGGGCGGGAGGGGGGCAAGCUGUGGCUGUUGCCCCAGGGCCACCAGCAAAAGUUGGACCCUACCCCUCUCUGGGACCACAAAUUCCAGAUGAUUGGCAGCCAGUGAGUUCUCCACCUUCCUGGGAGUGGUGAGGCUCAGCCUUCAGCCUUGGAGUGGUGGGCAGCAGGCUCUGGUCAUGGGGCUUCAGGCUCCAGCACUGGACCCCAGCCAUGGGUGCCAGCCCUUGGCUUACCCCCCCCCCCGCAUUGCCCCUGGCCUCCCCGGCCUACCCAGCCUCCCCAUCCAUUCCCCCUUCACCACUGGCCCCCACUAUCUCCCUAUCCACCUCCCCAUCCAGGGCUCAAUUUGUUCCCUGUCUUACCAGGGCUGAAUAAGUCUGCUGUUAAAAUUGAUAGUUGUAUGUUUGUUAAUAUCAAUUUUCACAGCCUCUCAGCUAGCUAGUAAGUCUGCUGUGAAAAGUGAUAUUAAUAAACAUAGAAUUACUUUUCACAGCAGGAGACUUACAAGCUAGCAAGUCUUAAAAAAACAGGCAACUGAAAAGCAAUAGAAAUAACAACAAAGGCAUGAAUGUGCAAAGCACCUUAUUUGUAUUUCUAUUCUGUUUAGGUCCAGUAAAGAAUAGAGACAACUGUACAUUAUUAUUAUUGAGGCUGCAAAAAAAACCUCUACAGAAAUAAAUUACAAUGUUUUGGACAGGUAUAUGUGCAUAUUUCCCCUCUUCUUCCCCCCCCCCAAGUUAAUUAAGUGUUUUAGGAAAAAUUGUCAGAGCGGCCACCAAUAAGAGUUGGUGGCUGCACUCUGAGGCCACCAAAAAAUGUGUUGUGAGAACCCUUGGUCUAGAGCACUGCUAAGCUAUAGCUAUUCUUGGCUGCUGGAAUAGCUCCUUGGGGGGCUAUUGCUGCAGGAUACAACUUAAAGCAGACCGGCUGUCCCAUACACUGUAAGGAUUGCUCUAAAUUGAGCUGAAUUGGCCCCACAAUCAAGGGAUGUAAAGGUGGUCUAAAGGCACCCUUCAGGUGGUCCAUUAACACAGCUGAGGAUGUGGUUCCAUAUGUCUGUGACACAAUGGAAAUGAUUUGCCAUCACGAGAAGUGUUGUGAGGAUUUUCAUUUUUUUCCCCAGAGUUCUAAAGUAAUUGGAAAAGCAUGUCUGUCUUCCAGAAACACUAAAGUCCAGGCUUCCCAGCCUGCUCAUAGAGGGCUUUAAGUGACUGUGAUAUCUAAGAACAUCCAUAAGAUAGUUCUUAUUGCUCAAAUGGAAUUGCUUUCUUAAAUAACUCCAUUGGCAUUACUGAGGUGUUUUGUAUUGUUUUUAACCAGAUUAAAAAAUACCCAUCCACAAAUGACUCUGGAUCAAGGAACUUGUACGCCUCACUGCCUUGCAUAGAUGUUAAUGUUGAAGACAUGUUCCAUAAUUAUCAGGUUUCGAGGUUAGCUUGUGAAUAUACUUUCUUUUCUGAAUAGUCACUAACACUGAACCACAGUCUCAGUUAAUUGUCUCCAGUAAUGAGUACAACAGCUGUUUCUUCUCUAACUUAGAACACUUCACUCAUCAUCUUCUCCUGAUUGAUGUGGUAGCCUUUGAAUUUCCCGUAGAAGGGAUCCCCUUUGGGACCAAAUUGAGACCCCUGGGUACCAUGUAAUUUUGGCAGUCCGCAAGGUCGCACCAGCUUGAGUAAUAUUUCAAGAGCUGUCAUUUUCUUUCUCUUGAGUCUGCUCCCCUCCACUGCAGCCUGGCCUGAACUACUCUUAACCAUGAUUUACACAAGGCAGCAGUGCAGCCUGCCAGACCCAAUAGGAUUUCAAAAUGUCUGAAAAGCUCACUUAAAAUGGCCAGUUAGCAGAAAAGUUCACCCUGUGAAACAGCCCAGUUUGUAUAGGUAAUGAGGCUCUAGCUCCCCCCUUCAGGAAAAGAAUACCAAGUCCACCUCCCCACUCUCAGGCUCUCAUCCCCUGGCACUGUGCUCUGCUAAAUUUGUGUCCCACGCUAAAACCUACUCCAAAGGUAGUCCCUUGAGUAGGCUGCCCAUAGGAAAUAACACUUCCCAAGGUUUUCUCUUUAAGCCAGUUCUUUAUCUGAGUAGGCCGUUUGAGAUGGAUGGGGACAGCAGUCCAUUCCCAUGUAUUAUGGAGGCACUUGGUAGCAUAGUUAGGGUUACAUUUUAAAAUGGGGCAUAGAUUUUCUAAAAGUUGGUGCUCUGUUGCUGUGAAGUUUUUCUGAGCUCUUCAGGUGCUGGUUUCUGAGUAUAUUCCACAUGCAUCUGAGACCAGAGAUUUUGAGCAGGUACGUCUGUUGGUCUGCAUUUACACAAUUAUUCUCUUUGUGCUAUAUACUGAAGGUAUAAGGCAAGGUGCAUGCAGACUGAUGUCUCUGCUGUUGCACAUCCUGAGUCAGAAUCCUCUACUUCCAAAGCUGCUUCAUAGUCUUCUUGUCUGUAAAUGCAUAUUGUAAAUAGUUGUUGGUAUUUUACUGUUUUUAGUGUUUUUCUAGUUUAUAGUUAGUAUAGACCAGUUUCUUCCUCACCUCAGGGACCCCCACUUUCUCCUCAAAAGAAGGACUAUGCCCAGAGUUUCAGGGUUUAACAACUGUGUCUUCUGCCCCCAUUCCUUCUCCAUCAGCAAUAAAAACCAGUGCUGCCUUUGCUACCCUCCAAUCCCUCACUGCCAAGUGCAGCAUCUCCCAUUCCUUCCCUCCUUUGAACUCCAUCCAGGUCUGGUGAGUCCUCACGUGGGGGUCCUGAAGAUUUAGGUCCACAUAAACCUGACCAAGACGAUAAGGCUUGAAGGAGAAAGGAUUGGAUCCAUUAGUACCAGAAGUGGCUCCAGCUUAUAGGCCAAAGGCUAGGCAUCUACCAGUGCCAACUGGGAGCUCCACACUGGACUCCUCUUCAAUAGUACCAUCCUGCUCCGAGAAGGAUGUGCUAACAACCAUGCCAGUAGAGCAGUGGUGGGCAAUCUGUGUCCUGUCAGGAUAAUCCUCUGGCGGGCUGCGAGACAGUUUGUUUACCUUGACCGUCCGCAGGCACAGCCACCCGCAGCUCCCAGUGGUCGCGGUUUGCCCUUCCCGGCCAAUGGGAGCUGCGGGAAGCAGCAACCAGCACAUCCCUGCGGCUCACACGGAUUCCCACAGUUCCCAUUGGCCAGGAGUGGCGAACCGUGGCCACUGGGAACUGCGGGCAGCCAUGCCUGCAGA